UGACUGCUAAUACCGCAUAAGACCGCGGUGCCGCAUGGCACAGCGGUAAAAACUCCGGUGGUAUGAGAUGGGCCCGCGUCUGAUUAGCUAGUUGGCGGGGUAACGGCCCACCAAGGCGACGAUCAGUAGCCGACCUGAGAGGGCGACCGGCCACAUUGGGACUGAGACACGGCCCAAACUCCUACGGGAGGCAGCAGUGGGGAAUAUUGCACAAUGGGGGAAACCCUGAUGCAGCGACGCCGCGUGAGCGAUGAAGUAUUUCGGUAUGUAAAGCUCUAUCAGCAGGGAAGAAGAUGACGGUACCUGACUAAGAAGCCCCGGCUAACUACGUGCCAGCAGCCGCGGUAAUACGUAGGGGGCAAGCGUUAUCCGGAUUUACUGGGUGUAAAGGGAGCGUAGACGGCGAUGCAAGCCAGAUGUGAAAGCCCGGGGCUCAACCCCGGGACUGCAUUUGGAACUGUGUGGCUGGAGUGUCGGAGAGGCAGGCGGAAUUCCUAGUGUAGCGGUGAAAUGCGUAGAUAUUAGGAGGAACACCAGUGGCGAAGGCGGCCUGCUGGACGAUGACUGACGUUGAGGCUCGAAAGCGUGGGGAGCAAACAGGAUUAGAUACCCUGGUAGUCCACGCCGUAAACGAUGACUGCUAGGUGUAUGCGUAGAUAUUAGGAGGAACACCAGUGGCGAAGGCGGCUUACUGGACUGUAACUGACGUUGAGGCUCGAAAGCGUGGGGAGCAAACAGGAUUAGAUACCCUGGUAGUCCACGCCGUAAACGAUGAUCACUAGGUGU
This 786-nucleotide ribosomal RNA is filed under the name uncultured bacterium. RNAcentral describes it as "bacterial SSU rRNA". The stretch from base 1 to 673 matches the Rfam family "Bacterial small subunit ribosomal RNA", at positions 157 to 873 of the family's 1533-position model. The record is from RNAcentral.